AUCCUUCUGGACUCCUUCCCAGAGCUAACUACAGACCUGAAAGAUUUCUUCUUCUGCGCUCUCAGGGAACAACAGUCCUUAAAGUCCAGCUCACGCUGCUGUGCUGCAGCGUCGCUCUCGGUCCCCUCCACUGCACUGGGUCUCCCCACUGCACUGGGCCCCCUCUUCACUGCACCCGGCCACUCCACCGCACCCGGUACCCCGGCCCUCUAUGGCACCCAGUUCUCUCUCCUCGGCACCCAGUUCCCCGCCCCCACCUCCGCCCCAACGGCACCCAGUCCCUCGCACCCAGCACCGCCCCCGUCCCUCGCACCCAGCACCGCCCCCGUCCCACCAACAGCACCCAGUCCCCCCGCUCCGCCACGGCACCCAGUCCCCUCAGGGCACCCGGUUCCCCGCCUCCGCCAAGGCACCCGGUUCCCCGCCUCCGCCAAGGCAACCGGUCCCCCCCCCCCCCGCCCCCCGCUACGGCACCCAGUCCCCCGACGGCUCUCGGUCUCCUCCACGCCGAGCCUCGGAGAGCAGGGGCUUUGCUUUUCCGGCUGAGGUGUUCAAUAAACAUCUCUUAAACAAAGGAGUGCGCAAGUGAGAUAAUAUAAGACAGAAUCUCGCUCUGUUGCGCAGGCUGGAGUACAGUGGUGUGAUCCGGGCUCACUACAACCUCUGCCUCCCAGGUUCAAGCGAUUCUUCUGCCUGGGACUACAGGUGCGUGCCACCAUGCCCGGGUAACUUUUUUUUGUAUUUUUAGUAGAGAUGGGGUUUCACCAUAUUGGCCAGGCUGGUCUCGAUCUCCUGACCUUGUGAUUCGCACCCCCCCCCCGCCACCUUGGCCUCCCAAAGCGUUGAGAUUACAGGCGUGAGCCACCGCGCCGGGCCUAAUUUUUUUAUUUUUAUUUUUAGUAGAGACGGGGUUUCACUUUGUUGACCAGGCUGAUCUUGAACUCCUGGCCUCAAGUUAUCCGCCCUGCCUUGGCUUUCCAAAGUGCUGAGAUUGCAGGUGUGAGCCACUGUGCCUGGCCAAAAUUCUACUUAUUUUUUUAUAGAGGAGUAGUACAGGCUGUUUCUGACUGCCCCAUCUGUAAGUAAACAAUCUAGUUUUGAAUUGUCAAUUGAUUUAAAAGUGAUAGUUUUCAAAUCUUCAUUGAGGCAUUUUGUAUCCAUUGAUUCUUUCUGCCAGGGCACACACUCUGUCUACGUUAUGCACUGAAGCCUUUCUGUGUAUCCUUACUGGGCCUUGAUGCUGGGUAACUGCACGAUUCUGGUAACCAAACCUGGUGGCACAUCCCAAUCAGCUUUUUCAAAAUAGGGCUUUCUAGACUUUCACCUGGAGAUUCUGUCUAGAGGUGUUUGGGCUGAAGCCUGGCAACUGUGUUACAUGAACAGUUGGCCCCCAUCCCUGGGGCAUCUGCCUCUGCUGCACUGAUGCCUUCCCCAGCUCACAUCAUGGCUGCAUGGGGCCAGAGGGGGUUCCCUGUGAUGCUUGCAGAAAAGCUUGGGUCUGCUGGUAGGAGUGGAAAAUGGACUGCUGCCCACUCCAGAGUGGCUUUAAAGGACAGUGGAGAGGGAGUCUUCCUAAUGAGCAGAGCUGUGAGCAGUACCCUUGUUUGUCCAUCUUGUAUGGAGGGAGAAGGGGCCCGAGGUCGCUUACAUGGACUCCUGGGGAGUGGUGACUGAUUUGGUUGCAAGUCUGGAAAGAGCAGGAGUGGAAGAUCUGAGAGCAAGAGUCAGGGUGAGGUGUGGAUGAACCUACAGGAGUGGGCAGAGAGCACUCAGAUCUCCCUGCUGGCCAUCAAUACCCGGCUGAGGGUGAGCACAGCAGAGGAGUCGCUCAACAACCGGGUGGACAAGACGACUCGUCUGGUAGACGCCUGCCAGCCUCUGCCCUUGGUCACUCCAGUGCUCAUGUUACCAGAAAGGGGUCCUGAUCUAGAUCCCAAGACAGGGUUCUUGGAUCUCACACAAGAAAUAAUUCGAGGCUAAUCCAUAAAGUGAAAGCAAGUUUAUUAGGAAAGUAAAGGAAUAAAGAAUGGCUACUCCAUAGGUGGAGCAGCCUGAGGGCUGCUGGUUGGCUAUUUUUAUGGUUAUUUCUUGAUUAUAUGCUAAACUAGGGGCAGGUUAUUCAUGAGUUUUCCAAGAAAGAGGUGGGCAAUUCCCAGAACUGAGGGUUCCUCCUCUUUUUAGACCAUAUGGGUUAACUUCCUGACGUUGCCAUGGCAUCUGUAAACUGUCAUGGCACUGGUGGGAGUGUCUUUUAGCAUGCUAAUGCAUUAUAAUUAGUGAAUAAUGAGCAGUGAGGUCACUUUUGUUGCCAUCUUGUUUUUAGUGGGUUUUGACCAGCUUCUCUACUGCAACCUGUUGUAUCAGCAAGGUCUUAAUGACCUGUACCUUGUGUGGACCUCCUAUCUCAUCCUGUGACUUAGAAUGCCUAACCUCCUGGGAAUGCAGCCCAGUAGGUCUCAGCCUUAUUUUACCCAGCCCCUAUUCAAGAUGGAGUUGCUCUGGCUCAAACACCUCUGAUGCUCACUCCACGGGCCCAUGGCUGGAAGAGUUACGGUAGUAGGGAUAGAGGCUCUGUAGAGGGCCAACAGCAAGGGCCCCCUCUGACCAAAGCUGAUCCAGUUACUGCCACUGCUGAAUACCCGACCUGUUGAUGGCAGAGAACGAAGAUGACCCCUUGGUAUGGUCCUACUUCUUGGAGAGUCUAGCUAGACAUUUGCUGGCAAGUUGAUUCCAUCAGGCCUUUCUCACCCUGCAGGGGACAGUGAUUGAUUCUUUUUUGGAGUUGAUUCCAUCAGAUACCAUCAGUUUGCCCUUCCUAUGUCUUUGCUGGUAUCAUCCAAGGGUUCACAGAGUACCUGAUUACUGACAUGGGGUUCCAUGUAACAGCUUUUCAGAUGAGAGCCCAUUUCACAGUGGAGAAAGUGUGAUACUAGCACCCAGCACAGGGUUCUCUGGACCCACCACGCACCACAUGGCCUGGCAGCCUAAAGGAGGAUGCAAUGGCCAGUGGGCCUUUGUCCCCUCAGCUGGAAUCAGCUUGUGGUAGAUGUCCCUUAGAUAGAGCCCCCAGAGACAUCCAGGGACUCUGAAUGCAGGUAUUUCCAUAGAGAACAGGAGGCCAGAGGAAGCAGGAGUUCAGGCCUGGUAGCAUGUGUGCAGUGGGACACUAGAUGUCUCAGAGCAGGAAUCUGUAUUUUUAAAGCCUCUUAAGGGAUGACAGGUACUCUCCUAGGGUCGAGAACCACCGGGGGGGGGAAAGAGGAUGAAACAUGGAGGAGGAAGAGCUGGUUGUGAGUCCUGGUGCCAUCACUUGCCCAAGGUGACCUCCCUUCGUCACAGGCUGAGGUGAGGAUCACAGUUACUGGCUUACUCAUUUAUACUCUUUUCUCAUUAGAACUGGGAUCAACAUAUCAGCUAGGAUCACCGUGUGUGAACCACUAUUAAAUGAGUUAAUAUACAUAAGGUAUAUAAAACAGUGCCUCAAUUGCACAAGAGCACUAUAAAAGGAUUAGCUAUUUUUAUGCAAGUGAUUGUUACUGUUAACAGAGGUUGAGGCACAGAGGAAGUCACUGAUGAGGCCCAAAAAUGCCUAAUUCUUCCUGUCCAUUGGCUCCUUGAGAACCCAGCAGCAGGCAGCAGGCAGCAGGAUGACCAUUUCUUGCUUUCUUUUUUCUCUCCACUUUUUAUUUGGAAAUAACUUCAAACUUACAAAAAUUGCAAACAUAAAAUAGUGCAAGGAGCAUUUAUAUACCUUUUACUCAGAUUCACGCAUUGGAAUGUUUUACUCCCAUUUGCUUUAUUGUUCACGUUCUAUUUUUUUCUUUGAGAUGGAGUUUCGCUGUUUUUGCCCAGGCUGGAGUGCAAUGGCGCGAUCUCGGCUCACUGCAACCUCCGCCUCCCAGGUUCAAGCGAUUCUCCUGCCUCAGCCUCCCUAGUAGCUGGGAUUACAGGCGCCUGCCACCACGCCCGGCUAAUUUUUUGUAUUUUUAGUAGAGAUGAGGUUUCACCAUGUCGGUCUGGAUGGUCUCGAUCUGUUGACCUCGUGAUCUGCCCACCUCAGCCUCCCGAAGUGCUGGGAUUACAGGCGUGAGCUACUGCACCCGGCCCUAUUGUUCAUGUUCUUUAUCUUUCUUCCUAUCUCUCUAAAUUUGUGGAAUAUAUAUACAUACAUAUUUAUAUAUAGAUACAGAUGUAUAUCCAUAUAUAAAUAUUUAUUUAUUUAUACUAUCGUAUAUUAUAUAUGCAUUCCCAUUUUUUUUUGGAAUUAAAGGUGAGUGACAUCAUGGCCUUUAAUCCUCAAUACUACAUUAUACCAAAUACUAAAUUAUAAUACCAGGAGUACUAAAUACUACACAAAGGAUGAUCUCUUAUAUAACCACAGCACAGUUGUCAGCCUCACACAUUUACACUGAUACAAUAUGUUAUCUAAUCUACUGUUCAUAUGCCAAUUUUAUCAGUUGGUCUAAUGAUGUUUUUUUCCAGCAUUUUUCCCUCCAGCACAGAAUCCCCUGUAGGGUCAGGCUGCAUUUAGUUGUCCUGUUUCUUCAGCUUUCCUUCAUCUGGAACAUUUCCACAGCCUUUCUUUGUCUUUUAUAACCUUGACAUUAUUGAGGGACACUUCCCUUCCCCCUGUUGUUUUAAUAGGACGUUCCUCAUGUUACAUCUGUCUGGUGUUCCCUUGCAAGCAAGGUUGUGUGUUCUUGGCCGCCAUGGGUCCUGUUGUGCAGGGCCACCAUUCCUAAUAAGGCAAGAGUGCUGGUGGCUGAUGAGCCCAGGGCUGCUCUUGCUCACUUUGCUGACAGCACUCGACGGGGAGUCAGCAAAGCCAGAAGUGCAAAUAAAGCCAUAAGCUUCAGGAAAUCUUGGGUGUCAUUCCAUGUAAACAAUAGGACUGGACGAAUGGAAAACUAGGCAGCUGGAAGCACUGUCAGAAAUUCAAGCCAGUAAAACCAGGCAGAGCAAUGUCAUUCCACGAUUACAGCCAGCUGCAUAUUUCAGUGCUAAAAUGUUUGAUUUCUGAACAAUGACACUCACUAGUUAUAAAAUAGAUGGGAUUGGUUUAUGCAUAUUUUAUCUCUGAAGUUGCUACUGUCAUAUCCAUUUUACAAGUAAGGAAACUGAGGCUUGGGGGGCAACUACAGUAAUGCCACAUGGCAAGCAUUGGCGCUAAAGCUAGAAUCCAAGUUUUGGUCUAAAUGCCCUAUGCUAUCUCCAUGAAAGCAGUGCUUUGCAUGAGAAGUCCUCAAGUUUUAGUUUGAGGGAGGUGGGCUGUAAAUCAAUGUGAAGCCAUUGAUAAACACUGAUUAUCUACAAAUGUUACUAACUUCCUGGCCUUUUUUCUUUUCUUUGCUUUUCUUUUUCUUUUUUUCUUUUUUUUUUGAGAAAGAGUUUUGCUCUUGUUGCCCAGGCUGGAGUGCAAUGGUGUGAUCUCAGCUCACCGCAACCUCUGCCUCCCGGGUUCAAGCGAUUCUCCUGCCUUAGCCUCCUGAGUAGCUGGGAUUACAGGCAUGCGCCACUACGCCCGGCUAAUUUUGUAUUUUUAGUAGAGACGGGGUUUCUCCAUGUUGGUCAGGCUGGUCUUGAACUCCUGACCUCAAGUGAUCCACCUGCCUCGGCUUCCCAAAGUGCUGAGAUUACAGGCGUGAGCCACCAUGCCUGGCCCCUGCUUUUUUCUUUAAUCUUCGCUCUUGACAAAUCAUAGUGAAAUGUCUUGGGUUCAUUGUCUUGGGAAGUCUGAGGUCUAGGGCCCCCUUUUGAUGGAGGUGGAAGGCAUUUACAUGGUGAGAGGGCCAGUGGAUACCAUCUCAGGUCUCUCUUGCUCUUCUUACAGAGCCACUAGUCCUACUGAAUUAGGGCCUCAUCCUUAUGAUCUCAUUUAAGUUUAGUUACCGCCUAAAAACCUAUGUCUAGAUAUAAUCCCACUGGGAAUUAUAUUUUCAACACAUAAACUUCUGGGGACACAUUCAAACCAUAGCAUGACUUUUGAUUUUGAAGGCUGACCUGGGUCUGUCCGAUGUGUCCUCAUGGCCAGACUCAAGCCGUGCACUCCUGGAAGACUUCCAGAAAAUUAUGCUGUGCUCUUCCUGAUGCAGAAUGUAGAUUCUUCCCUUGGUGUUACCUUGACCACUUUGUCAAGUUGGUUUCUGUCAUAUUUCUCCUCCAAAAAGCCACUGUUUUUUCCAUUGUGAUUAAUGAGUAUUUUGUAGGGAGAUAUUCUGGCAUUGUACCAAUAUCCUGUUCCUCACUGAACCUUUACCCACCAUCCUUAGCAAUUAUUGACAUCUUCCUCUAUCAUGGUUGCCACAUCAUAGAAUAAGAUCUAUAAUCUCCCAUUUCUGUCAUCCUAUCUACUUUUAUUAGUUGGCAUUCACUGUAAGGAAGGGCUUUCCCUUCUCACCCACUUGUUUAUUUAUAUCUUUAAGGCCUCAUAGAUUCUCAUUUUAUCCAAUGGAUUGUAAAUCAUCACUAUCAUUAUUUAUUUCAAAGGUCAAAUUUUCCAAAUUUGGCCAGUGAAACUCCCUUCAGGCUGGCUCCCAAGUCCUUUUGACACGUCUGUAUCAAUCUUUGAAUACUUCUUUACUUUCUGAAACAAGAUAUUCCAAACCCACCUUAUACUUCGUACUUAUUUAUUUAAUUAUUUAUACGCUAAGGUCUCAUUGAUUCCCAUUUUAUUGAAUGGCUGUAACCCAUCACUAUCAUUAUCUAUUUUAAAGUAACUGCUAUUUUACCUCUAGUCUCAUUUCCCUAAAAUUCAUCCAAUAUUUGCACCAGAUUAAUCUUCUAAAAGCAUAGCUACUGUCCUUAUUUUUUGACCAUGCUGGCAUCUUUGAAGAAGCAGGAAAAAACCCAAGCUUCUCAUCCAGCAUUCAAGACGCUCCCCACUCUGUCCCCAUUUGCCCUGGCCAUCAAGUUUCCCAAGACUCUCUGAUGUGUUUCUCCGUGGAUGUUAUGAGCACCUCCUCAUCCUCUCAUCCUCCCUCCCUCCCUCCCUUCUUUUUUCUCUCCUCCCUCCCUCCCUCCCUCCCCUCCCUCCCUCCCUCCCUUCCUUCCUUCCUUUUCCUUUCUUCCUCCCUCCCUUCCUUUUCCUUCCCUCCUUCCUUCCUUUUCCUUCCUUCCUUCCUUCCCUCCUUCCUUCCUUUUCCUUCCUUCCUUCCUUUUCCUUCCUCCCUCCCUUCCUUCCUUUUCCUUCCUCCCUCCCUCCCUUCCUCCCUCCCUUCCUUCCUUCCCUCCUUCCUUCUUUCCUUCCUUUUCCUUCCUUCCUUCCUUCUUUCCUCCCUCCCUCCCUCCAUCCCUCCAUCCCUCCCUUCCUCCCUUCCUCCUUUCCUCCUUUCCAUACUUAUCUAGAAGCUGCAAUGUGUCAGGCACUGAACUAGGCACUGAGGACAGAGCAGUGAAUGAAAUGAAGUUCUUGCUGUCAUGGAGCUUGUCCUGGAAAGAGACAGUAAUCACACAAAUACAUAUGCAUCAGGUAAUAGUAAAUGUUGUGAGAAAGAAUAAAGCAGAGUAAGGGGAUAGAGUGAAUGGUGCGUGAUUGAGGGUGUGUCUAUCUCUCUUUCUACCUGUGUGUGUGGAUGCACAAGCGAUAUUUUACACAGGGCACAUCUAGAACUUCCCUACCUUCACACCUCCUUCGCUCAUAUCAUUCCUUCUAUUUGGCAUUUUCUUCCUUGUUGAUACUUGAGCUUGAACUUCAAGAAAUAAGGUUUUCCAGUCCUCAUGACGUCUUCUCUGAUUGCCCCAGACCCAGUGAUCCUUCUCUGAA
Molecule: long non-coding RNA, 7762 nt
Filed under: Homo sapiens (human)
Lineage: Eukaryota; Metazoa; Chordata; Mammalia; Primates; Hominidae
Description: non-protein coding lnc-SQOR-1:1
Rfam family: Small nucleolar RNA SNORD71 (bases 4750-4808)
Source: RNAcentral